GCGAGUGAAGCGGCAAGAGCUCAGAUUUGGAAUCGUGUUUCGGCACGAGUUGUAAAUUGCAGGUUGGAGUCUUUGUGGAAGCGUGUGUCCAAGUCCCUUGGAACAGGGCGCCAUUGAGGGUGAGAGCCCCGUGGGAUGCGCGCGGAAGCAGCAAGGCCCUUCUGACGAGUCGAGUUGUUUGGGAAUGCAGCUCUAAGCGGGUGGUAAAUUCCAUCUAAGGCUAAAUACUGGCGAGAGACCGAUAGCGAACAAGUACUGUGAAGGAAAGAUGAAAAGCACUUUGAAAAGAGAGUGAAACAGCACGUGAAAUUGUUGAAAGGGAAGGGUAUUGGGCCCGACAUGGGGAUUGCGCAUCUCUGCUCCUUGUGGGCGGGGCGCUGUGCUUUUCCUGGGCCAGCAUUGGUUUUUGCCGCAGGAGAAGGGGUACUGGAAUGUGGCUCCUCGGAGUGUUAUAGCCAGUGCCAGAUGCUGCGUGCGGGGACCGAGGGCUGCGACAUCUGUCUCGGAUGCUGGCACAACGGCGCAAUACCGCCC
This 534-nucleotide ribosomal RNA is filed under the name Pichia pseudolambica. Its description in RNAcentral is "eukaryotic LSU rRNA". It matches the Rfam family "Eukaryotic large subunit ribosomal RNA", at positions 89 to 650 of the family's 3401-position model. The record is from RNAcentral. Lineage: Eukaryota; Fungi; Ascomycota; Pichiomycetes; Pichiales; Pichiaceae.